Molecule: transfer RNA, 65 nt
Filed under: Arcanobacterium urinimassiliense
Lineage: Bacteria; Bacillati; Actinomycetota; Actinomycetes; Actinomycetales; Actinomycetaceae
Also listed under: 1 other name
Rfam family: tRNA
About the family: Transfer RNA (tRNA) molecules are approximately 80 nucleotides in length. Their secondary structure includes four short double-helical elements and three loops (D, anti-codon, and T loops).
Source: RNAcentral
CCAUAGCUCAAUGGAUAGAGCACCGGCCUUCUAAGCCGUAGGUUGUGGGUUCGAGUCCCGCUGGA